AUGGCGGGGGAGGGCGUCGGGCGGUGCAUACUGGUGGGGCUGCACAUGGACGCCGUCGGCAAGGAGCUGCUGCAGUGGGCGCUCAACCAGGCGGCCAGGAGCGGCGACCGCGUCGUCGCCGUCCACAUUUACCGCAAAUCCGGAGACCUGUGCAAGACGAACGCGCUGACGCUGAUCAGGACGCUGGACGACUACCUGGCGGAGUACGAGGCCAUCUGCAGCAAGAAAGACAUCGUCCUCGUGGGGCGGGUGACGCCGGGGAGCUCGAUCCAGAAGGUGCUGGUGAAGGAGGCAAAGCUCUGCGCGGCCAUGGCGGUGGUGAUUGGCGCCAACAAGAAGUACUCCUUCGGUGGCUCGACCGGCCUCGCCAAGUACUGCGCCAGGAAGCUCCCGCCGACGACCAGCGUCGUCGCCAUCCAGGGCGGCAAGGCCAUCUUCGUCAGGGAGGCCCCCCGGCCGCCACUUGGAGCAGAGCCCAAGCCGGUGCUCCGCACGCUGCUGCACCCCAGCGUCGGGAUGGAGCCCAAGGUGAUCAUCCCCAACCCCAACCGCCGGAGCGCGCGGUCCAUGGACUUCGACGCCGCGGGCUGCGGCCAGUGCGCCGCGCCGCCGCAGCCCAAGAAGCCCUGCGACGACGACGACGCUGCCGUCGCCAAGGCCGUCGUCGUGCGCGUGCCGGCGCCCGAGCAGAAGCUCGGCUGGCCUUUGCUCCGGCGCGCGCCUCCCGGAGCGCAGGCCGCCAAGGGUGACCACGAGACGACGCGCAAGCAGUCGGUGGUGCACUGGGUGAUGAGCCUGCCGCGGCGCUCCUCGCCGUCGGCGUCCCCGGAGCCGGCGCAGGAGGGGCUGGCGGCCGACCUGAGGCGGACGCUGGGCGGCGCGCCGUCCCGGUGCCGGUGGUUCCGGUACGAGGAGCUCUACGACGCCACCAACCACUUCUCCCCGGGCAACCUGGUGGGCAAGGGCGCGCACAGCCGGGUGUACCGGGGCGGCCUGGCGAGCGGGCAGCGGGUGGCGAUCAAGCUGUGCCGCGCGUCGGCGGAGGCGUCCAAGGACUUCCUCCGGGAGGUGGACAUCAUCACCAAGCUGCAGCACGGCCGCAUCGUGCCGCUCGUGGGCGUCUGCGUCGAAGGCCCCAACCUCAUCUCCGUCUACCGCUACCUCCCCCGCGGCAGCCUCGAGGACAACCUGCACGGGAAGAGGUCGAAGCCGGCGCUGCCGUGGGAGAAGAGGUACCGGACGGCGGUCGGGGUCGCCGAGGCUCUGAGCUACGUGCACUCCGGCUGCUCGCGGCCGGUGAUCCACCGCGACGUCAAGUCCUCCAACAUCCUCCUCACGGAGGACUUCGAGCCCCAGUUGUCCGAUUUCGGGCUCGCAAUCUGGGCGCCGUCCAGCCCGUCGUCCGUGACGCACAGCGACGUCGUCGGCACGUUCGGGUACCUUGCGCCGGAGUACUUCAUGUACGGGAAGGUGACGGACAAGGUGGACGUGUACGCGUUCGGGGUGGUGCUGCUGGAGCUCCUCACCGGGCGGAGGCCCAUCACCGGCGACGGCUCACCAAAGGGCCACCACCAGAGUCUCGUCAUGUGGGCGACUCCGAUCCUCAACGGCGGCGACAUCUCCGACCUGCUGGACCCGAGCCUGGACUUGAAGCACGACGAGGUGGAGGUGCGGCGGAUGGCCGUCGCGGCGUCGCUCUGCCUGGGGCGAUCGGCGCGCCUCAGGCCCCCGAUAUCGCAGAUACUGAGCAUACUGCGGGGAGAAGAGGACGCGACGAGCCUGGCGGCCUCGGAGCCGGACUGCGUUGUGGACGACGAGACCUACCCGGCGGCCAACGUGAGGUCGCACCUAGGCCUGGCGCUGCUGGACGUGGAGGACGCCGAGUCCAUCUCCAGCACCGAGCACACCAACCUCAGCCCGCUCGAGGAGUACCUCAGACAACGCUGCAGCCGAUCCUCCAGCUUCGAUUGA
RNAcentral lists this ribosomal RNA (1971 nucleotides) under Triticum aestivum (bread wheat). RNAcentral describes it as "partial small subunit ribosomal RNA". The record is from RNAcentral. Lineage: Eukaryota; Viridiplantae; Streptophyta; Magnoliopsida; Poales; Poaceae.